Molecule: non-coding RNA, 71 nt
Organism: Merluccius polli (Benguela hake)
Lineage: Eukaryota; Metazoa; Chordata; Actinopteri; Gadiformes; Merlucciidae
Source: the annotation of a GenBank genome assembly
GGGGAAGGAUAUUCUGGUUAGGGUGUUGACUCCCAGUCAAAAGGUUCUGGGUUCGAUCCCCAGUGUCCCCA